RNAcentral lists this ribosomal RNA (447 nucleotides) under uncultured bacterium. RNAcentral's name for it is "bacterial SSU rRNA". It matches the Rfam family "Bacterial small subunit ribosomal RNA", at positions 52 to 507 of the family's 1533-position model. The record is from RNAcentral.
CACAUGCAAGUCGAACGAAGAUGCCGGAGUGCUUGCACUUUGGCAGACUGAGUGGCGGACGGGUGAGUAACGCGUGGGUAACCUGCCUUAUACGAGGGGGAUAACAGUUGGAAACGACUGCUAAUACCGCAUAAGCGCACGGUAUCGCAUGAUACAGUGUAGAAAAACUCCGGUGGUAUAAGAUGGACCCGCGUCUGAUUAGCUAGUUGGUGAGGUAACGGCCCACCAAGGCGACGAUCAGUAGCCGGCCUGAGAGGUUGAACGGCCACAUUGGGACUGAGACACGGCCCAGACUCCUACGGGAGGCAGCAGUGGGGAAUAUUGCACAAUGGGGGAAACCCUGAUGCAGCGACGCCGCGUGGAGGAAGAAGGUCUUCGGAUUGUAAACUCCUGUUGUUGAGGAAGAUAAUGACGGUACUCAACAAGGAAGUGACGGCUAACUACGUG